RNAcentral lists this long non-coding RNA (525 nucleotides) under Betta splendens (Siamese fighting fish). RNAcentral's name for it is "lncRNA (ENSBSLG00000006082.1)". Lineage: Eukaryota; Metazoa; Chordata; Actinopteri; Anabantiformes; Osphronemidae. The record is from RNAcentral.
AUUUAACAAAACGUCUCUCACCAGAGUGGCUUCUGGAUGCGGAUCAUCUGCUCACGUUCCUGUUAAACUAUUCAUACGCCUGUUCCUCCCUGACUGUAGUUUCCUCCCAGCAUGUCAAGGAUUGACUUGUAAAUCUCUAUGAUAACUUUAGCGCAUCAGCAUCAACAGGCUGCCCUGUGGCAAACCGUAAUUACAGUGAUCCCACGGAGGAGGACGUCCCACUAUAACCAACUUGAAGGGAACACAGCGAUCCUAUGCCCAGCGGCUGCAGUAUCUUGGAGAAAAUGCAUCGCUGAAGUGCUCUUCACAGGUAUCCACGGCUGGAGGCGUUGACUGGAUGGUCGAGGUGAGACUCCUCCUCCGAGCUGGAAACAGAUCACUUCAUCGAUAAAGCCCCCAGAGCCGACCUCUGGUGACCCCAGCAUGAGCCACACCGGAGGCUGGUAAGGAGCUGCACAGACUCUCCUCUCGCGUUCCUAAAUGAAGGUUUGUAUUUUAUUUCAAAUAAAGUCCGGCCGGAGAACA